GACAAACCCUAUCGACUCCUUGAGCCCCGUGUCCCUCCUUCCCCGCACUCCCCACGCUCGCCGCCUCUCCCCCGCUUCUAGUGGUGGAGCUUAGUGCAAGCAAAACCAGGCUGUGGCCCGCCCAGCUUUGCUACAAACCAAUGUACCUGAAGGGUGAAAUGGGGCAUGGAUGGAAAAAACGAUGUGCUUUCUCUAAGCUGGCCCGCCCAAUCAUUUCAUUCUAGCUCCGCCACUGCCCGCUUCCCAUCGCCAUAGACGCCGCUCCUGGAAUCCUCCACCCCCCAGGAUCUCAGUGUCGAGCCGGAGUUCAGGGGCAAGGGAGGAGCGAAUCGACGACGGCGCAAAUAUUAAGAAGGGGAUGGGAGAUCGAGGAGGGAGAGACCUGUUGCAAAGGAGAGGUGAUACGAGGGUGGGCGGAGGUCACGCAUCGGCACCGGGACGCGUAUGCAAAGCAGAGCGUGAGAGGUAAUGCCGACCGGCCAGCGCCUCUCCACCGGCUAUGUUUGCGGCGGCAAGGAGAAGGCACCGAGGAUGUGCUGCUCGGUCUUGGGGUUCAACUCCCUCUACGGCGAAGAGGCUGGCGGGCUCUCGCUCUGGACCAGCCAUGUCGAGCGACGGUGCCGUUCUAUGAAUCUGGCGUCCCCUCUCCUGCAGCGAUGUCCUCCUCGAGUCUCAGGUGAAAGAUGGUGAGGAGAUGGUUGGGACGGUGCUGCUACUACGCAGCCUUGGUGAUUAGAGUGAAUGGUCUGCUCUUUGCUGUCAAAUACUUCAAUUGAUGGCUCAUUUUCUAAAUACAGAUUGGAUGUCGCAUGUUAUUCCCCAAGAGGGCAGUUAUUGAGACCCACUUCAGAAAAAGAAUGAAUGUCGAAAACAGACAUAAGGGUGCAGGUCCUUCCGACGAUGUGACAGGAGAAACACGAGGAUAUGCAUUGGUGGAUCUGACAAGGAGGUCGCUAUCUACCUCCUUCCAUGACGGUGAACCUCCAACUAGAUUUUAUUUUCCAGUAGGAUAUGCAGACAAUCAAAUACAUGUCUUUGGCCUCUUUUUGAUGUGUGCAUUACCAUGUUCUUCCCACUGUCCCACAAGUACUGUUCAAUCUAUCAGUUGUUAGCGGAUGUCGUGCUCUGACUAAGGUUUGCUGCCUUCCUCUACUAUAUGGUUGUUAGCGGUUGUCGUGCUCUGACUAAGGUUUGCUGCCUUCCUCUACUAUAUGGUUGUUAGCGGUUGCCGUGCUCUGACUAAGGUUUGCUUCCUUCCUCUACUAUAUCUCUUGGUUUUAUGGGCCAUUCUUACAAACCUUUGUUGUGUAGGAGGCCAUGUUAUUUUGGUGUGUGAGAGAUGUAUUGCGGGCUGACAGGUGUUGAUAUGUCCAUUUUGCAUCAUGCUUUUAUAUCGAUAAGCAUUAUGGGCUGUUAUUACACAUUAUGUCACAAUACUUAUUUUUACAAGGUUUACAUGAACAGGGAGAAUGCCAGCAGCUGGAAUUCUGGGCUGGAAAAGGAGCAAAUAUUAGAGACCUAUUCUACA
Molecule: long non-coding RNA, 1528 nt
Organism: Aegilops tauschii subsp. strangulata
Lineage: Eukaryota; Viridiplantae; Streptophyta; Magnoliopsida; Poales; Poaceae
Source: RefSeq, a predicted model, not a curated record